GACGAACGCUGGCGGCGCGCCUAACACAUGCAAGUCGAACGAGCGAGAGAGAGCUUGCUUUCUUGAUCGAGUGGCGAACGGGUGAGUAACGCGUGAGGAACCUGCCUCAAAGAUUGGGACAACAUUUGGAAACUACUGCUAAUACCGCAUAAGCCCACGGUGCCGCAUGGCACAGAUGGAAAAGGAGCAAUCCGCUUUGAGAUGGCCUCGCGUCCGAUUAGCUUGUUGGUGAGGUAACGGCCCACCAAGGCGACGAUCGGUAGCCGGACUGAGAGGUGGAACGGCCACAUUGGGAAUGAGACACGGCCCAGACUCCUACGGGAGGCAGCAGUGGGGAAUAUUGCACAAUGGGGGAAAACCUGAGGAAGCGACGCGGCGUGGAGGAAGAAGGUCUUCGGAUUGCAAACUCCUGUGGGAGGGGAAGAUAAUGACGGUAACGAACAAGGAAGAGACGGCUAACUACGUG
RNAcentral lists this ribosomal RNA (466 nucleotides) under uncultured bacterium. Its description in RNAcentral is "partial 16S ribosomal RNA". It matches the Rfam family "Bacterial small subunit ribosomal RNA", at positions 28 to 507 of the family's 1533-position model. The record is from RNAcentral.